Molecule: transfer RNA, 73 nt
Filed under: Guinardia striata
Lineage: Eukaryota; Bacillariophyta; Coscinodiscophyceae; Rhizosoleniales; Rhizosoleniaceae
Description: tRNA-Asn
Rfam family: tRNA
About the family: Transfer RNA (tRNA) molecules are approximately 80 nucleotides in length.
Source: RNAcentral
UCUUCAAUAGCUCAAUUGGCAGAGCAAAUGGCUGUUAACCAUUAGGUUGUUGGUUCAAAUCCAACUUGAAGAG